AAGGGGGCAAACCCGUGGACCCAACGCCGCGUGGAGGAUGAAGAUCUUCGGGUCGUAAAAUCUUUUCGAUCGAGAGGAAAUCUCCUUGGGCUGUACAAUCCCGGGGGAUGACGGUACCGAGAGAAGAAGCCCCGGCAAACUCUGUCCCAGCAGCCGCGGUAAUACGGGGGGGGCAAGCGUUUUUCGGAAUUACUGGGCGUAAAGGGCUUGUAGGCGCCCAACUAAGUCAGACGUGAAAUCCCUCGGUUUAACCGGGGAACUCCGUCUGAUACUGGAUGGCUUGAGUUUGGGAGAGGGAUGCGGAAUUCCAGGUGUAGCGGUGAAAUGCGUAGAUAUCAGGAGGAACACCGGUGGCGAAGGCGGCAUCCAGGACCACCACUGACGCUGAGGAGCGAAAGCCAGGGGAGCAAACGGGAUUAGAUACCCCGGUAGUCCCGGCCUUUAACGUUGAAGGCUUG
RNAcentral lists this ribosomal RNA (458 nucleotides) under uncultured Acidobacteriota bacterium. RNAcentral's name for it is "bacterial SSU rRNA". It matches the Rfam family "Bacterial small subunit ribosomal RNA", at positions 371 to 819 of the family's 1533-position model. Lineage: Bacteria; Pseudomonadati; Acidobacteriota. The record is from RNAcentral.